This 253-nucleotide ribosomal RNA is filed under the name uncultured bacterium. Its description in RNAcentral is "partial 16S ribosomal RNA". It matches the Rfam family "Bacterial small subunit ribosomal RNA", at positions 524 to 776 of the family's 1533-position model. The record is from RNAcentral.
GACGGAGGGGGCUAGCGUUGUUCGGAAUGACUGGGCGUAAAGGGCGUGUAGGCUGUUGAUCAAGUCAGGCGUGAAAGCCUUGGGCUUAACCUGAGAAUUGCGUUUGAUACUGGUUGACUUGAGGAUGGGAGAGGAAAGCGGAAUUCCGAGUGUAGAGGUGAAAUUCGUAGAUAUUCGGAGGAACAUCAGAGGCGAAGGCGGCUUUCUGGACCAUAUCUGACGCUGAGGCGCGAAAGCGUGGGGAGCAAACAGG